This 415-nucleotide ribosomal RNA is filed under the name uncultured bacterium. Its description in RNAcentral is "bacterial SSU rRNA". It matches the Rfam family "Bacterial small subunit ribosomal RNA", at positions 358 to 774 of the family's 1533-position model. The record is from RNAcentral.
GGAAUAUUCCACAAUGGGCGAAAGCCUGAUGGAGCGACGCCGCGUGAGUGAAGAAGGGCUUCGGCUCGUAAAGCUCUUUUCUAGAGGACGAAUGGCGCAUUGGAGGCGCAGGGACGGUACUCUGGGAAUAAGCCACGGCUAACUACGUUCCAGCAGCCGCGGUAAUACGUAGGUGGCAAGCGUUGUCCGGAAUUAUUGGGCGUAAAGGGAGCGCAGGCGGGACGGUAAGUCCAAAUUAAAAGUGCAGGAGUAAUGCCUGUGAUGGUUUGGAAACUAUCGUUCUUGAGAGCAGGAGAGGCAAGCGGAAUUCCCAGUGUAGCGGUGAAAUGCGUAGAUAUUGGGAGGAACACCAGUGGCGAAGGCGGCUUGCUGGACUGAGUCUGACGCUGAGGCUCGAAAGCCAGGGUAGCGAACG